RNAcentral lists this ribosomal RNA (460 nucleotides) under uncultured bacterium. Its description in RNAcentral is "partial 16S ribosomal RNA". It matches the Rfam family "Bacterial small subunit ribosomal RNA", at positions 338 to 795 of the family's 1533-position model. The record is from RNAcentral.
CCUACGGGAGGCUGCAGUGAGGAAUAUUGGUCAAUGGACGCAAGUCUGAACCAGCCAUGCCGCGUGCAGGAAGACGGCCCUAUGAGUUGUAAACUGCUUUUGUACGAGGGUAAACUCAGAUACGCGUAUCUUUCUGAAAGUACCUUACGAAUAAGGAUCGGCUAACUCCGUGCCAGCAGCCGCGGUAAUACGGAGGAUUCAAGCGUUAUCCGGAUUUAUUGGGUUUAAAGGGUGCGUAGGCGGUCGGUUAAGUUAGCGGGGAAAACCCGGGGCUCAACUUCGGAAGUGCCUCUGAAACUGUUAGGCUAGAGGGUAGUUGCGGUAGGCGGAAUGUGUGGUGUAGCGGUGAAAUGCUUAGAGAUCAUGCAGAACACCGAUUGCGAAGGCAGCUUACCAGGCUACAUCUGACGUUGAGGCACGAAAGCGUGGGGAGCAAACAGGAUUAGAUACCCUAGUAGUC